Molecule: long non-coding RNA, 1020 nt
Organism: Nannospalax galili (Upper Galilee mountains blind mole rat)
Lineage: Eukaryota; Metazoa; Chordata; Mammalia; Rodentia; Spalacidae
Exons: 3
Source: RefSeq, a predicted model, not a curated record
AGAGACCAGAAGAGGAAAUCGGAUUUCCUGGAACUGGGAUUAUGGACUGUUGCUGGCUGCCAUGUGGAUUCUGGGAACCGAAAGAGCAGCUACAUUCUGGAGGAUGGUGAUUAAUACAGAGAACCACAACAGGCCAACAUGAAGACAACAAGAGCAGAAGAGUGCUUAUCCCAGAAUAGGACAUCUAUAUCAAACUUCUGUCUUCUAAGGCUGAGGAUCAUGUGGAAGAGUAGGAAGAAAGAUCGUAAGAGUCAGAGGUGGAAGAUGACUGCAAGGAGACAGGGUUUUCCAGGCAGCUGCUCAAAGAAAAAGCUUCUUCAUUUGGUGUUUGUGUUCAAUGGUCAAGUUUCCAGUGUGGUAGGCUGGAGGAGAGCGAGGAAGAGCAGAAGCCCACAGCAUAACUCCUGGCCCAGGCCACAGCAGAGAGACGGGGGACAAACACUGUGGAAAAGCAUCAGGAGGUCCAAGAGCAGGAAAAGAAUGAGAGAUUGUACAUGACAAAUUGGCACGGCCAGGCUGCUGUGGCUGUCUCUACGGACCCAAGCAUCCCCAACGUCAUUGUGACCGGCAUGACCUUGAUGUGCAGCACUGCCCCAGACCCCUUGGAGCUGGAGCUUCAAGGAGCAGUGGUUUGUGCUGAAAAGGAUGUGGAGUGCCUGAUAAUAAUCCCAUAAUCCCUUUCCCGGUGAUCAGAGAGAUGGUGUCAGGUAUGAAUCACACUCACAGGACUCAUGGAAUGCAGAAAUGGUUCCUGCUACUUCAAUACACAGAAAGUUGAAUUCACACAUGCAUAUGAAAAAUAAAAAAGGACAAAAGCUAUACUCUUUUUUUUUCCAAAUUACCUUUUCUUGUUAUCGAUUCUAAAUGUUACAUUCCUUUUUUAUUCCCCUAACCAUUAACGUAGGAAUCAGAUAUGACUGGACACUGCAUACAUGACCCACUUGGAAAAAGUGAUGUUGUUAAUGAUUGCUGUAUUAUGUGUCUUAUGCUUGGGUGCUUUUAAUAAGAGUUGAGUUGUCG